Molecule: ribosomal RNA, 178 nt
Filed under: Bombyx mandarina (wild silkworm)
Lineage: Eukaryota; Metazoa; Arthropoda; Insecta; Lepidoptera; Bombycidae
Description: partial 12S ribosomal RNA
Source: RNAcentral
GCAACUGCUGGCACAAAAUUUGUUAUUAAUUUAAAUAUUACUAAAUCUUAAUUACUUAAAUUUUUAAUUUUAAUUACUACAAUAAAUAUUAAUUAUUAUUUAAAUAAAUUAAAAAUUAACACUAAAAUUUAUAUGUAAAAUAAAUUUAUAAUAAAUUUUUAAACCAUAAAUAAUUUUU